GUGCUUGCUUCGGCAGCACGUAGACUUAAAUUGAAUUACACAGAGAAGAUUAGCACGGCCCCUGCACGAGGAUGACACAGAAAUUCAUGAAGCAUUCACUAUUUUU
Ailuropoda melanoleuca (giant panda) is the source of this 106-nucleotide small nuclear RNA. The record is from Ensembl. Lineage: Eukaryota; Metazoa; Chordata; Mammalia; Carnivora; Ursidae.